Molecule: ribosomal RNA, 593 nt
Filed under: Clostridioides difficile
Lineage: Bacteria; Bacillati; Bacillota; Clostridia; Peptostreptococcales; Peptostreptococcaceae
Description: bacterial SSU rRNA
Rfam family: Bacterial small subunit ribosomal RNA
Source: RNAcentral
UGGACCCGCGUCUGAUUAGCUAGUUGGUAAGGUAACGGCUUACCAAGGCGACGAUCAGUAGCCGACCUGAGAGGGUGAUCGGCCACAUUGGAACUGAGACACGGUCCAAACUCCUACGGGAGGCAGCAGUGGGGAAUAUUGCACAAUGGGCGAAAGCCUGAUGCAGCAACGCCGCGUGAGUGAUGAAGGCCUUCGGGUCGUAAAACUCUGUCCUCAAGGAAGAUAAUGACGGUACUUGAGGAGGAAGCCCCGGCUAACUACGUGCCAGCAGCCGCGGUAAUACGUAGGGGGCUAGCGUUAUCCGGAUUUACUGGGCGUAAAGGGUGCGUAGGCGGUCUUUCAAGUCAGGAGUGAAAGGCUACGGCUCAACCGUAGUAAGCUCUUGAAACUGGGAGACUUGAGUGCAGGAGAGGAGAGUGGAAUUCCUAGUGUAGCGGUGAAAUGCGUAGAUAUUAGGAGGAACACCAGUUGCGAAGGCGGCUCUCUGGACUGUAACUGACGCUGAGGCACGAAAGCGUGGGGAGCAAACAGGAUUAGAUACCCUGGUAGUCCACGCUGUAAACGAUGAGUACUAGGUGUCGGGGGUUACCCCC